Molecule: ribosomal RNA, 372 nt
Filed under: uncultured organism
Description: bacterial SSU rRNA
Rfam family: Bacterial small subunit ribosomal RNA
Source: RNAcentral
CGGAAGGGCGAGCGUUGUUCGGAAUCAGUUGGGCGUAAAGGGCGCGUAGGUGGUCCUGUAUGUCUACCGUGAAAGCGUACGGCUCAACCGUAUUUUGUCGGUAGAAACUGCAGGACUUGAGGCUGGGAGGGGCUGGUGGAAUUCCCUGUGUAGCGGUGAAAUGCGUAGAGAUGGGGGAGAACACUCGUGGCGAAGGCGGCCAGCUAGACCAGUUCUGACACUGAGGCGCGACAGCGUGGGGAGCAAACAGGAUUAGAUACCCUGGUAGUCCACGCUGUAAACGAUGGGCACUAGGUGCCGGCGGUCUUGAUCCCGUCGGUGCCGGCGCUAACGCAGUAAGUGCCCCGCCUGGGGAGUACGGUCGCAAGGCUG